GAUGAACGCUGGCGGCGUGCUUAACACAUGCAAGUCGAACGAAGCACUUUAACCUGAUUCUUCGGAUGAAGGUUUUUGUGACUGAGUGGCGGACGGGUGAGUAACGCGUGGGUAACCUGCCUCAUACAGGGGGAUAACAGUUAGAAAUGACUGCUAAUACCGCAUAAGACCACGGAGCCGCAUGGCUCAGUGGGAAAAACUCCGGUGGUAUGAGAUGGACCCGCGUCUGAUUAGGUAGUUGGUGGGGUAACGGCCUACCAAGCCAACGAUCAGUAGCCGACCUGAGAGGGUGACCGGCCACAUUGGGACUGAGACACGGCCCAAACUCCUACGGGAGGCAGCAGUGGGGAAUAUCGCACAAUGGGGGGAACCCUGAUGCGGCGACGCCGCGUGAGCGAAGAAGUAUUUCGGUAUGUAAAGCUUUAUCAGCAGGGAAGAAAAUGACGGUACCUGACUAAGAAGCACCGGCUAAAUACGUGCCAGCAGCCGCGGUAAUACGUAUGGUGCAAGCGUUAUCCGGAUUUACUGGGUGUAAAGGGAGCGUAGACGGCUGUGUAAGUCUGAAGUGAAAGCCCGGGGCUCAACCCCGGGACUGCUUUGGAAACUAUGCAGCUAGAGUGUCGGAGAGGUAAGUGGAAUUCCCAGUGUAGCGGUGAAAUGCGUAGAUAUUGGGAGGAACACCAGUGGCGAAGGCGGCUUACUGGACGAUGACUGACGUUGAGGCUCGAAAGCGUGGGGAGCAAACAGGAUCUGAUACCCUGGUAGUCCACGCCGUAAACGAUGACUACUAGGUGUCGGGGAGCAAAGCUCUUCGGUGCCGCAGCAAACGCAAUAAGUAGUCCACCUGGGGAGUACGUUCGCAAGAAUGAAACUCAAAGGAAUUGACGGGGACCCGCACAAGCGGUGGAGCAUGUGGUUUAAUUCGAAGCAACGCGAAGAACCUUACCUGCUCUUGACAUCCCGGUGACCGGCAUGUAAUGAUGCCUUUUCUUCGGAACACCGGUGACAGGUGGUGCAUGGUUGUCGUCAGCUCGUGUCGUGAGAUGUUGGGUUAAGUCCCGCAACGAGCGCAACCCUUAUCUUCAGUAGCCAGCAUUUUGGAUGGGCACUCUGGAGAGACUGCCAGGGAUAACCUGGAGGAAGGUGGGGAGGACGUCAAAUCAUCAUGCCCCCUAUGAGCAGGGCUACACACGUGCUACAAUGGCGUAAACAAAGGGAAGCGAGCCUGCGAGGGUAAGCAAAUCUCAAAAAUAACGUCUCAGUUCGGAUUGUAGUCUGCAACUCGACUACAUGAAGCUGGAAUCGCUAGUAAUCGCAGAUCAGAAUGCUGCGGUGAAUACGUUCCCGGGUCUUGCACU
RNAcentral lists this ribosomal RNA (1358 nucleotides) under uncultured bacterium. RNAcentral's name for it is "bacterial SSU rRNA". It matches the Rfam family "Bacterial small subunit ribosomal RNA", at positions 28 to 1387 of the family's 1533-position model. The record is from RNAcentral.